UAGGGAAUAUUGGACAAUGGGCGCAAGCCUGAUCCAGCAACGCCGCGUGAAUGAUGAAGGCCUUAGGGUUGUAAAAUUCUUUCGCUAGGGAAGAUAAUGACUGUACCUAGUAAAGAAGCCCCGGCUAACUCCGUGCCAGCAGCCGCGGUAAUACGGAGGGGGCUAGCGUUGUUCGGAAUUACUGGGCGUAAAGCGUGCGUAGGCGGACUGGAAAGUCAGAUGUGAAAUCCCGGGGCUCAACCCCGGAACUGCAUUUGAAACUAUCAGCCUAGAGUUCUGGAGAGGUAAGUGGAAUUCCUAGUGUAGAGGUGAGAUUCGUAGAUAUUCGGAGGAACACCAGUGGCGAAGGCGGCUCACUGGCUCGACCCUGACGCUGAGGUGCGAAAGUGUGGGGAGCAAACAGGAUUAGAUACCCCUGUAGUCC
This 424-nucleotide ribosomal RNA is filed under the name uncultured prokaryote. RNAcentral describes it as "bacterial SSU rRNA". It matches the Rfam family "Bacterial small subunit ribosomal RNA", at positions 355 to 796 of the family's 1533-position model. The record is from RNAcentral.